This is an RNA transcript of Aethalodelphis obliquidens (Pacific white-sided dolphin), 896 nucleotides long. It is a transcript of the gene named dnaJ homolog subfamily A member 1 pseudogene, with no coding region annotated. The record is from RefSeq and is a predicted model, not a curated record. The transcript has a single exon. Lineage: Eukaryota; Metazoa; Chordata; Mammalia; Artiodactyla; Delphinidae.
AUAUGUAUGGUGCAACAAGAAAACUAGCUCUGCAAAAGAAUGUGAUUUGUGACAAAUGUGAAGGCCAAGGUGGUAAGAAAGGAGCAGUGGAGUGCUGUCCCAAUUGCUGAGGUACUGGAAUGCAAAUAAGAAUUCAUCAGGUAGGACCUGGAAUGGUUCAGCAAAUUCAGUCUGUCUGCAUGGAGUUCCAGGGCCAUGGGGAGCGGAUCAGUCCUAAAGAUAGAUGUAAAAGCUGCAAUGGAAGGAAGAUAGUUCAAGAGAAGAAAAUUCUAGAAGUUCAUAUUGACAAAGGCAUGAAAGAUGGCCAGAAGAUAACAUCCCAUGGUGAAGGAGACCAAGAACCAGGACUGGAGCCAGGAGAUAUUAUCAUCAUUUUAGAUCAGAAGAAUCAUGCUGUUUUUACACGACGAGGAGAAGACCUUUUCAUGUGUAUGGACAUACAGCUGGUUGAGGCAUUGUGUGGCUUCCAAAAGCCAAUAUCUACUCUUGACAACCGAACCAUAGUCAUCACUUCUCAUCCAGGUCAGAUUGUCAAGCAUGGAGAUAUCAAGUGUGUGCUAAAUGAAGGCAUGCCAAUUUAUCGUAGACCAUAUGAAAAGGGUCGCCUAAUCAUUGAAUUUAAGGUAAACUUUCCUGAGAAUGGCUUUCUCUCCCCGGAUAAACUCUCUUUGCUGGAAAAACUCCUACCUGAGAGGAAGGAAGUAGAAGAGACUGAUGAAAUGGACCAGGUAGAACUAGUGGACUUUGAUCCAAAUCAGGAAAGACAGCGCCAUUACAAUGGAGAAGCAUAUGAGGAUGAUGAACAUCAUCCUCGGGGUGGUGUUCAGUGUCAGACCUCCUAAUGGGGCCAGUGAAUAACACUCACUGCUGGCAUUUUAUUUGCAGUAGUGAUUGAG